RNAcentral lists this ribosomal RNA (495 nucleotides) under uncultured bacterium. Its description in RNAcentral is "partial 16S ribosomal RNA". It matches the Rfam family "Bacterial small subunit ribosomal RNA", at positions 28 to 507 of the family's 1533-position model. The record is from RNAcentral.
GACGAACGCUGGCGGCGUGCCUAAUACAUGCAAGUAGAACGCUGAAGGAGGAGCUUGCUCUUCUGGAUGAGUUGCGAACGGGUGAGUAACGCGUAGGUAACCUGCCUGGUAGCGGGGGAUAACUAUUGGAAACGAUAGCUAAUACCGCAUAAGAGUAGAUGUUGCAUGACAUUUGCUUAAAAGGUGCAAUUGCAUCACUACCAGAUGGACCUGCGUUGUAUUAGCUAGUUGGUGGGGUAACGGCUCACCAAGGCGACGAUACAUAGCCGACCUGAGAGGGGGCUCGGCCACACUGGGACUGAGACACGGCCCAGACUCCUACGGGAGGCAGCAGUAGGGAAUCUUCGGCAAUGGACGGAAGUCUGACCGAGCAACGCCGCGUGAGUGAAGAAGGUUUUCGGAUCGUAAAGCUCUGUUGUAAGAGAAGAACGAGUGUGAGAGUGGAAAGUUCACACUGUGACGGUAUCUUACCAGAAAGGGACGGCUAACUACGUG